UGCAAAAUCUGACCUCGCAGAGCAAGUUGUUUUUGAAAAUAAUCUUCUUUAGUCUGGCCAACUUGAAAUUAUAUCAUGACCCUGCAUUGGAAAAUCUGAACUUUGACCUUUUCAGAUGAUGAAUAUGCAUUAUGAUCUACCAAUUCAGAGCAAUGACCAAACUCUUGGCCUCCAAAUGCUGUUGAGGGAGACAAGGGCAGCUUGAGAUCAGGAUUUGAGUAGUGGUGGUGUUAUACCUUCUGUACGUGGCCCAGUGGCAGAGUCAGUAUGAAAACCUGUCCCUUCAGAAUGCCAACCGGAAAGACAAUGCCAAAGGAAUUUUGUCACACCCAAGAUGGGCCAUUGAUGGAUUUAAUGAUGUCUCUGUCCUUAGUCCCAGGAAGGAGGACAGGACACCGCAGUGAGGGGACCUCAGAGUCCUCAGAGGGGACAGCAGAGGUGCCAGAGAGAACCUCAGAAGUAAGGAGGACCCAUGUGGACUCGAUCUCUUGGGAACCGGCUGUUUCUUGAGACUGGGCCUAAGCAGCUUUGGUGAACCAGUCCCAAAUCCUACCAUCGAAAAGGAAAAUAUGGUGAGGUUGCAGACUUAUGUGCCUGGAGUCUGCUGGACAGUUUCUGUGAAAAUUUCCCAAAGCAGGGAUCUCUCCAGAUUUCCAUGUGACAGCAAAAGCCUUGGCUGCAGGGAACUGCUUAGGACAUUUCUCUAUACCUAGGUUUUCUUGACCUAAGCAUAUGUGAAGGGCUGCUGUCUGACUCACCCUUCAUUUGACCUAUUUUUGAAAUGACUUCUUUACAAAAAGCUGGAGAUAAGUGCAGAGAAUUACACAUUUAUAAUCCUAGUAUA
Long non-coding RNA from Felis catus (domestic cat), 844 nucleotides. RefSeq lists it as uncharacterized. NCBI's taxonomy places the organism in Eukaryota, Metazoa, Chordata, Mammalia, Carnivora, Felidae. The transcript has 3 exons. The record is from RefSeq and is a predicted model, not a curated record.